Molecule: long non-coding RNA, 2027 nt
Organism: Triticum dicoccoides
Lineage: Eukaryota; Viridiplantae; Streptophyta; Magnoliopsida; Poales; Poaceae
Exons: 2
Source: RefSeq, a predicted model, not a curated record
AGACACACCGGACGCCCCCUUAGUUCUCCUCGCCUCAUCACCUACCUUCCCCUAUCCUCUCCCCACUGCUCCCUAUUCCAUGGUGGCCACAAGCCCACAACUCUCUCUCUCUCUCCUCAAGCCGCCCCUCCUCUUCGUCCCCACCGCCGGCGCGAGGUCUCGCACUCUUCCCACUCUUCUCAGCCCAUCCUCGUCGAAUCGGUCGCCGAAGUGCCCGAGGAUCCGCUCAAGCUCGGUCUGGUUGCUGGGCGCCGGAUGAAGGCUGACGCGGAGGCGCGGGAAUUGCCUCCACCAGAUCGGCGGCUGUGGCAAUCAUGUGUCGCAACCUCCGCGCCUGGUGCCUUCCUUUCCAUCUCGCUCGUCGGCGGCUCCCACCACCCUGUGCGUGCGACCGCGCUGCGCCCUGUAAUGCCCAUGUGCGGCAGCUGUGCCGCGGUGGAUGGUCCCUUGCAAGUGCAAGCCGGUGCCGGCUUACAAGAAAUGAAUAUUGAAGACCAUCUAAGAGUCAGGGAAUUUGUUCGAUCCUAAAUUUUUGGGACUCUGAAAUAAACACAAAGAUGGGAAUGGGGAGGCAUACCUGCCUGCCAUAUACAUCAACCCGAAGCUUUUGAGCAUUGUACAGAAUAAGUAAUUGACAGGUUUACUUCAUGAUAGUCUAGGAUUUGGUUUGGCCAAAAUGAUCAAGUACUUACUACAUAAUUUCUGAAUUUACCAAUUAUUUUUUGAAUGCAUCAGUUAGACAACGGUGAUACAUCAGAGCGCCUCUUUAAUAGAAACGACUUAAUUUUGGAGGAGGACUACCCCGUUCCCAAAUCCUAGCUCCGCCGUUGAUGAAACCUGAAUUUACUUUAGUAGAUCUUCUCUUGUAAAAUCCAAACUGUUUCCGAGCCUAUAUGUUUUGUUUCAUAUUGUUGUUUAUCAUGCAAUACUUAUCCUGCAGCCAUCUGAUAUGCAAAUUUGAUAAUAGAAGAUGACCAAAUUUGUGGACAGGAAAAUGCAUAUUCUUGGAUUGGGUUUUCUUCUCCACUCUAUUGGACCAAGUUACAAAUAGAUCAUACUUACUGGGUUUUAUUCAUUCAGUCACACAGAUUCGAGCACUAUACUGUUAAAACAAUAUGAUGGAGGGCUCCAGUUUGAUGCACUGUUAAAAUUCAUGUUCAAGUCAUAGGAGGUAGAUCUAUUAUGGUUUGUACAAAAUUGAUACAUUCGUCAUCACACUAUUGUAAAUAUGCAAAUUUGAGAGUGAAGAGCAUUGUUAUAAAGAUGCAAAUUUGACAGGGAUUAGGGGAGCAAUGAAGUAUGCACAUAUAUGUUAAAUAGAAUUUCCUUUAAAAUCAGGAACUGAUCGGCCCUAUCACAUUAACCCAAUUGAAUAUCCUGUAAAAUUAUACCAUGUUCCUUUGGUGCAGGCAGGUGCGUUGCCUGAGGAGUUCGUCGGCGUCGAUGUCGGGGCCUGUGGCUGGGCGGCGAUGGCCAACAGUGGCUGGGCGGCGAGGGCACAACAGUGGCUUGGCGGCACCGACGUCUGACUGUAGUGUGCAUCUAAACGGCGACAUGAAAGAAGACAUCGAGAUUAACUGGGAUGGAACUGGCCAAGUAUUGCGCACAAGAGGAUAGUCUGCACCUGCAUUGGCGAGAAGCGCGUCGUAGCGGGCGUCGUCCGCUACGCAUGGCGGCGAUGGCGCAGGGCUGGGCGGCUGCGACGUACGUCCGGGUGGGCUGAUUCCCGUAAGUUUAGAAAUUUGUUGUGAGGCAGACGUGUUAAUUCCCAUUAAUUGUGGCUAAUUUUCUGUAGUUGAUUGGACGCGAACGCAAAGGGUGGAACUGUUUUUUUUUUCGGGGGAGGUGCAACUGUUUGAUCGAUGGCAGAGUUUCGUCCGCUCAUGUAAAUCGCUAAACGUACACAGGGGAGGUCUGACUUUUAUGUGGACGGUUAGAUGCCUGAUCCUGGGGAUGGUAAUUUGUCUUGUUUGGCCUGUGUACGUUUAACCGGGUGGACAUAGUGGAGAAUAUGUUUGCUUGUUUAA